CCCUAUUAUAAUUAAAGUAUUUAAGGAUUUUGAGUAGUAAAUGAUUCGACCAGGAAACUUAAAGAAUUUGGCGGUGUAUAUUCUAAUUAGAGGAAUAUGUUUUUUAAUUGAUAAUCCACAUUUAUCUUACUUAAAUUUAUUUACUUUGUAUAUCUCCGUCUUAAAAAGACUUUUUAAAAUAUUUUUUAGUUUAUAUAAUUUAUAAUAAGUCAGGUCAAGGUGCAGGUUAUGUUUAAGUUAAAAUGUAUUACAAUAAAUUUAUUUUUGAAUUUGGGUUUAAAUAGUCAAUGAAAUUGGAUUUAUAAGUAAAUUUUUUUGAAUUAUAAUCUACUGAAAUUGUUAAUAUAUAUUCACCAUCCC
RNAcentral lists this ribosomal RNA (360 nucleotides) under Ptyctini sp. Ptsp.PU.06.17.2008.05. RNAcentral describes it as "partial 12S ribosomal RNA". The record is from RNAcentral. Lineage: Eukaryota; Metazoa; Arthropoda; Insecta; Psocodea; Psocidae.